UACGUAGGGUGCAAGCGUUACUCGGAAUUACUGGGCGUAAAGCGUGCGCAGGCGGCUUUGCAAGUCAGAUGUGAAAUCCCCGGGCUUAACCUGGGAACUGCAUUUGUGACUGCAUGGCUGGAGUGCGGCAGAGGGGGAUGGAAUUCCGCGUGUAGCAGUGAAAUGCGUAGAUAUGCGGAGGAACACCGGUGGCGAAGGCGGCAUCCUGGACCGGCAUUGACGCUGAGGCGCGAAAGCCAGGGGAGCAAACGGG
RNAcentral lists this ribosomal RNA (253 nucleotides) under uncultured bacterium. RNAcentral's name for it is "partial 16S ribosomal RNA". It matches the Rfam family "Bacterial small subunit ribosomal RNA", at positions 524 to 776 of the family's 1533-position model. The record is from RNAcentral.